RNAcentral lists this ribosomal RNA (492 nucleotides) under uncultured bacterium. RNAcentral's name for it is "partial 16S ribosomal RNA". It matches the Rfam family "Bacterial small subunit ribosomal RNA", at positions 29 to 507 of the family's 1533-position model. The record is from RNAcentral.
AGUGAACGCUGGCGGUAGGCCUAACACAUGCAAGUCGAACGGCAGCACAGUAAGAGCUUGCUCUUACGGGUGGCGAGUGGCGGACGGGUGAGGAAUACAUCGGAAUCUACUUUUUCGUGGGGGAUAACGUAGGGAAACUUACGCUAAUACCGCAUACGCCCUACGGGUGAAAGCAGGGGAUCUUCGGACCUUGCGCGAUUGAAUGAGCCGAUGUCGGAUUAGCUAGUUGGCGGGGUAAAGGCCCACCAAGGCGACGAUACGUAGCUGGUCUGAGAGGAUGAUCAGCCACACUGGAACUGAGACACGGUCCAGAGUCCUACGGGAGGCAGCAGUGGGGAAUAUUGGACAAUGGGCGCAAGCCUGGUCCAGCCAUACCGCGUGGGUGAAGAAGGCCUUCGGGUUGUAAAGCCCUUUUGUUGGGAAAGAAAAGCAGCAGGUUAAUACCCCGCUGUUCUGACGGUACCCAAAGAAUAAGCACCGGCUAACUUCGUG